This 497-nucleotide ribosomal RNA is filed under the name uncultured bacterium. RNAcentral's name for it is "partial 16S ribosomal RNA". It matches the Rfam family "Bacterial small subunit ribosomal RNA", at positions 28 to 507 of the family's 1533-position model. The record is from RNAcentral.
GAUGAACGCUGGCGGCGUGCCUAAUACAUGCAAGUCGAGCGAACAGACGAGGAGCUUGCUCCUCUGACGUUAGCGGCGGACGGGUGAGUAACACGUGGAUAACCUACCUAUAAGACUGGGAUAACUUCGGGAAACCGGAGCUAAUACCGGAUAAUAUAUUGAACCGCAUGGUUCAAUAGUGAAAGACGGUUUUGCUGUCACUUAUAGAUGGAUCCGCGCCCCAUUAGCUAGUUGGUAAGGUAACGGCUUACCAAGGCAACGAUGCGUAGCCGACCUGAGAGGGUGAUCGGCCACACUGGAACUGAGACACGGUCCAGACUCCUACGGGAGGCAGCAGUAGGGAAUCUUCCGCAAUGGGCGAAAGCCUGACGGAGCAACGCCGCGUGAGUGAUGAAGGUCUUCGGAUCGUAAAACUCUGUUAUUAGGGAAGAACAGAUGUGUAAGUAACUAUGCACGUCUUGACGGUACCUAAUCAGAAAGCCACGGCUAACUACGUG